Molecule: ribosomal RNA, 497 nt
Filed under: uncultured bacterium
Lineage: Bacteria
Description: partial 16S ribosomal RNA
Rfam family: Bacterial small subunit ribosomal RNA
Source: RNAcentral
GAUGAACGCUGGCGGCGUGCCUAAUACAUGCAAGUCGAGCGAACAGACGAGGAGCUUGCUCCUCUGACGUUAGCGGCGGACGGGUGAGUAACACGUGGAUAACCUACCUAUAAGACUGGGAUAACUUCGGGAAACCGGAGCUAAUACCGGAUAAUAUAUUGAACCGCAUGGUUCAAUAGUGAAAGACGGUUUUGCUGUCACUUAUAGAUGGAUCCGCGCCGCAUUAGCUAGUUGGUAAGGUAACGGCUUACCAAGGCAACGAUGCGUAGCCGACCUGAGAGGGUGAUCGGCCACACUGGAGCUGAGACACGGUCCAGACUCCUACGGGAGGCAGCAGUAGGGAAUCUGCCGCAAUGGGCGAAAGCCUGACGGAGCAACGCCGCGUGAAUGAUGAAGGUCUUCGGAUCGUAAAACUCUGUUAUUAGGGAAGAACAAAUGUGUAAGUAACUAUGCACGUCUUGACGGUACCGAAUCAGAAAGCCACGGCUAACUACGUG